This 465-nucleotide ribosomal RNA is filed under the name uncultured bacterium. Its description in RNAcentral is "partial 16S ribosomal RNA". It matches the Rfam family "Bacterial small subunit ribosomal RNA", at positions 28 to 507 of the family's 1533-position model. The record is from RNAcentral.
GACGAACGCUGGCGGCGUGCUUAACACAUGCAAGUCGUACGGUAAGGCCCUUUCGGGGGUACACGAGUGGCGGAGGGGGGAGUAACACGUGAGUAACCUGCCCACAACUUUGGGAUAACGCUAGGAAACUGGUGCUAAUACUGGAUAUGUGCUCCUGCUGCAUGGUGGGGGUUGGAAAGCUCCGGCGGUUGUGGAUGGACUCGCGGGCUAUCGGCUUGCUGGAGGGGUAGUGGGCUACCAAGGCGGCGAAGGGUAGCCGGCCUGAGAGGGUGACCGGCCACAUUGGGACUGAGAUACGGCCCAGACUCCUACGGGAGGCAGCAGUGGGGAAUAUUGCACAAUGGGCGCAAGCCGGAUGCAGCAACGCCGCGUGCGGGAUGACGGCCUUCGGGUUGUAAACCGCUUUCAGCAGGGACGAAGCUUUUUGUGACGGUACCUGCAGAAGAAGCACCGGCUAACUACGUG